Long non-coding RNA from Peromyscus maniculatus bairdii (prairie deer mouse), 1760 nucleotides. RefSeq lists it as uncharacterized. The record is from RefSeq and is a predicted model, not a curated record. Lineage: Eukaryota; Metazoa; Chordata; Mammalia; Rodentia; Cricetidae.
AGGGGUGUGUCAUUUCUUUCUUAGCAUAGGGGAUUUACUUCCCUAACUACAAAUAUGUUGAACACACAUGGCGAUACUCACUUCAUUUUUAAAACAGAGGAAACAGCUCAGAUCCCUUGCCAUAGUCUCCAUGGUUGAAGAAACUUAAAGGACCAAUUUUGCCAACUACUUCACCAAACUUUACCACCUCUUGCUACUGAGAGUGCCCAGUGGCCUGGAAUUCAACAAGCAGCCUCUGACAGCUGGCCAAAGAGCCCUCGGGGAUUUACCUGAUUCUGCCUCCAUAGCCCUGGGAUUACAGACAUGUGCCACUCCAGACAUGGCUCCUUUCACAUGGGUCCUGGAGACUGAACUCUGGUCCUCAUGUGUGAGAGACAACCACUUUCCAACGGAGCCAUCUCUCCGGUACCAAGUAUUUUCUGAUAGUCAUACAAAUGUAUGACUUGCAUUUGGGUGUUCUGUAUGGCUCAUAUCUGUUCAGAUCGAAUCUUCUGACUCAGAAGUCACCCCUGGUUGUCACAUACAGCUGUUUAGCUGGGUUUUCUACAACCAGUUUCGAAUGGGCUGCCAAAUGUCACCCAGAGGGCCAUCUUGGACCUGCAUUCAACCCUUCUAUGCAUCCAGAGUGCAACAGUGUCCACGGGGAAGCCAUUUCUAAUCUAAUAAUUUCUAGAUAUAAUCAAGUCUUACUGGGCUUCAUCUAAGCAGCAAUUAAUUAUCUUGACCCUAAAACUCACUCAUUUACUUGAAAAUUGGAAUGGCUUAGACUUCUCCUCCCCCUGCUCUUGGGGACUGUUAUUCAUUCCGUCAUUUAAAAUUCUUUUCCUUUGGGCUGAUAAUGAGCUCUUUUUGUAAGGCAGUUUUGAGACAGCUCAGAAAAUAACUACUACAUAAAAAACAAAUUGCCAUGGAUUGUAUAAUAGAGACAACAGGGGUCAAUUACACUCAUUCAUCAACCAAGACAGAACAAGAAGUACUGAGGCUUAAGCACAGCCAGGAAAACGUGUUGUAAACCAGGAGGGAGGGAAGAAAACAGCAAAGAGGAGGGGGGGAAAGAGGAAAUAAAACGCCUCAAGCUACCACAAUUCCUAAGAAGCCACCUAGGGAGACUGUGUGAAGGGCAGCCAUUAAAAGUAUUUAAGUCUUUAUUGCUAUUUAUUUUGAAUGACGACAUUCCAAAUGGUAUGGGUGCAAGGGGGAAGAGGUUGAUGACCCAUUUUGUGAUAAAAAAUUAACAGACGUCCAGCAGCUCUACUUGCAGCCAUUAAGUAUGGUUGUGCAAAUGGACAGUGCCUUGGAAAAAUUUACAGUAUAAAAGAGUUAUGCCCUUUGACACAGUUUCAUUCCUAGGAACUUAUCCCAUAAAACGACCCCUCCAACUGAAAAAUGGAUUAUAUUUUAGGAAAUGUAUGGGAAGAUUAUGAAACUUUAGAGAAGGCAGAAAUAACUUUGCAUUAACAAAAAAUGACAUGAGAUUUACCCAAGACAUCUCUAAGCCCCUAGGAUAUCAUACAGGCAUGAAACUGUGUGGUUUGCGGGGAAAAAUCAUGAAAAAAAUAAUUGUUAAGGCUUUGGCUAAAAAGACUAACUGCCAACAUAUGGAAUUACUAGAGUUAUGCAAACUAUGGAAAGAAGAGAAAAAUGUAAGAAAAAUAAUUGUUUUGAACUUGUGGCAAAUGUCUUCAACCUCUUUGUACUUUUUAAAGUUUUCACUCAUGAUUGUGAAAGGAUUUCAGCAAUAAAAAAAAUCUGUCAGCCUA